AUCCAUGUAAAAUUUAGUUUCUCAAAUAAAAAAUGCAGUACAUGUACAAAAUCAUUACAGUAUAUGGAGUGUGUGGAUAUCUUUCACAAAACUCGAGCCCAAUACAUCCAAACCAGUAAAGAAGAACACAUCAGCUACCUGAAUGUAGGUGGUGAAACUUUCAGUUAAUGCAGAAAAACAUACCUUUUCCCUCAUUUUAGGUACUUUUUCUUCUCAUGUUAAUGUAGGUGGUGAAACUUUCAGUUAAUGCAGAAAAACAUACCUUUUCCCUCAUUUUAGGUACUUUUUCUUCUCAUGUUGUGCAGAAUAAGGGGUGUUCCCUCGAAUAGAUCCAACAAAUAAUUCUCCAAAUCCUCGCCAGUGUAUUUUAUGUAUUUUCCAGCAUUCCUCCCACUUUCUAAAUGAUUCCCAAACCUUCCCAAAAACGAGCGGUAAGCUGGAAUGACUUUUUCUGAAAUUGAUAUUCGAAGCUCUUCACGUAGCUGAGGAUCUGGAACCUUCCAACCAGUCUGAAUCCGAUAUAUAUCUUCAAAG
Molecule: long non-coding RNA, 534 nt
Filed under: Olea europaea (common olive)
Lineage: Eukaryota; Viridiplantae; Streptophyta; Magnoliopsida; Lamiales; Oleaceae
Description: long non-coding RNA (OEUR_LNC003745)
Source: RNAcentral